UAGCUAAUCCUGGUCGGACAUCAGGAGGUUAGUGCAAUGGCAUAAGCUAGCUUGACUGCGAGCGUGACGGCGCGAGCAGGUGCGAAAGCAGGUCAUAGUGAUCCGGUGGUUCUGAAUGGAAGGGCCAUCGCUCAACGGAUAAAAGGUACUCCGGGGAUAACAGGCUGAUACCGCCCAAGAGUUCAUAUCGACGGCGGUGUUUGGCACCUCGAUGUCGGCUCAUCACAUCCUGGGGCUGAAGUAGGUCCCAAGGGUAUGGCUGUUCGCCAUUUAAAGUGGUACGCGAGCUGGGUUUAGAACGUCGUGAGACAGUUCGGUCCCUAUCUGCCGUGGGCGCUGGAGAAUUGAGGGGGGCUGCUCCUAGUACGAGAGGACCGGAGUGGACGCAUCACUGGUGUUCGGGUUGUCAUGCCAAUGGCACUGCCCGGUAGCUAAA
Molecule: ribosomal RNA, 436 nt
Filed under: Klebsiella pneumoniae
Lineage: Bacteria; Pseudomonadati; Pseudomonadota; Gammaproteobacteria; Enterobacterales; Enterobacteriaceae
Description: partial 23S ribosomal RNA
Rfam family: Bacterial large subunit ribosomal RNA
Source: RNAcentral